UGUACACACCGCCCGUCACACCAUGGGAGUGGGUUGCAAAAGAAGUAGGUAGCUUAACCUUCGGGAGGGCGCUUACCACUUUGUGAUUCAUGACUGGGGUGAAGUCGUAACAAGGUAAUCGUAGGGGAACCUGCGGUUGGAUCACCUCCUUACCUUAAAGAAGC
RNAcentral lists this ribosomal RNA (164 nucleotides) under Leucobacter sp. OAMLP11. RNAcentral describes it as "partial 16S ribosomal RNA". It matches the Rfam family "Bacterial small subunit ribosomal RNA", at positions 1382 to 1533 of the family's 1533-position model. The record is from RNAcentral. Lineage: Bacteria; Bacillati; Actinomycetota; Actinomycetes; Micrococcales; Microbacteriaceae.